This 513-nucleotide ribosomal RNA is filed under the name uncultured bacterium. RNAcentral's name for it is "bacterial SSU rRNA". It matches the Rfam family "Bacterial small subunit ribosomal RNA", at positions 8 to 518 of the family's 1533-position model. The record is from RNAcentral.
AGAGUUUGAUUCUGGCUCAGGAUGAACGCUGGCGGCGUGCCUAACACAUGCAAGUCGAACGAAGCACUUUAUUACGAUCCCUUCGGGGUGACGAUUUUGUGACUUAGUGGCGGACGGGUGAGUAACGCGUGGGUAACCUGCCCUGUACUGGGGGACAACAGUUGGAAACGGCUGCUAAUACCGCAUAAGCGCACGAUGUCGCAUGGCAUUGUGUGAAAAACUCCGGUGGUACAGGAUGGACCCGCGUCUGAUUAGCUAGUUGGUGGGGUAACGGCCUACCAAGGCGACGAUCAGUAGCCGGCCUGAGAGGGUGAACGGCCACAUUGGGACUGAGACACGGCCCAGACUCCUACGGGAGGCAGCAGUGGGGAAUAUUGCACAAUGGGGGAAACCCUGAUGCAGCGAACCGCCGCGUGAGUGAUGAAGUAUUUCGGUAUGUAAAGCUCUAUCAGCAGGGAAGAAAAUGACGGUACCUGACUAAGAAGCACCGGCUAAAUACGUGCCAGCCGCUGC